AUUCUGCACUCUGGACUCCUACGGACCAAGAUGAUCAACUCUGAGGAAGAAAGGCAAUGAGGACCUUGCACAGGAGAGUCCCUGAUACCCAGAGUUUACUGCCUAAGAGAGGAUACAUCCUUCAAACCAAUAAUCUGCUAAUAGCAAGAUCCAAUAGCUUCACGGAUAUUGAAAGAAACUGAGAAUCAAAUUUGCAUACUUCUGAGUCACUUGGAAACAAAAAACAAGUACAGUCUUAGAUUCUGAGGGAACAAAAAUUAAAAAUCACAUUAGGGAGAGAAUUCCUAAUGUAGGAACUCAUCCUGGAAGAUUCUUCAGCAAAAGUACAGACAAUAAUAAUAAUACUCCAUGAAGUUACCAUCGAUAUUGAAUGAAUUAAUGAAUGUAAAAACCUCAAAACCCUGCCUGGCCCAGAGCUUUGGAAUGGGUUUGGAUCUACCACUCAACCACUUUAUGACUUCAGACCAGUUAUUUAAAUUCCCUGAAGCUCAGUUUCCACAUCUUUGAGUUUUUAUUAAUGACCUGCCGACAUCAUACAGUUCAUGAAAUGCUCUGGAUGCGUACAUGCUGAUGAUACGACCUCAGACCCAGCAAGAGCUCAGUGCAGCCCGGAGAGCUGUGAGCAGUGCCACAGGAGGAGAUGACUGGUAAGUGAAAUAAGCAAGAUAGGAGUUGAAGUGUACAUGAAGCAGAGUCCAAGCCUUCUCCUUCUGGAUGUUCAGCUGGAUCAUCCUGACUGCUCCCACUUUCAUCUUGGCUUUCAAAGGCAAGAGGAAAUUAUAAGGAAUAUUCUGAGUGGCUUUCAUCCAGGAGUUCUGUGGGACCCGCAACACCUGGAUGGUAGAUGCAAACAGAUAAAGAAUAUUGGUCACCAAAAGGAGUUCUUUUCAUCAUAGGUCUCUGAAGGUAGACACCUAUUUUCAGACUUCUCAAAGGGCUAUAUGGAUGUGCUCUACUUGUUGGAGGAUGGUCCAUCCACUCUUCUUCCUGUACUUACCAGGACAGAACAGCCGCAACUUCUCAGACAGUUCAUUCUUCUUUUCCUCAUCUACUACCAUCUAAGAAAGGUACUUGAUGACUGUGGCUUUAGACAAGAGUCCUUUUCUUACCACAGGGUGGGCAGCACCAGCUCAUUAGAACCAUUUGUGUGACUGACUGAAGACAGCUCACCUUGGAACACUGCAGAAUAUGGCGUAAGUGACAUUGUACAAGUUCCAGAGCCUGGGACUCAAGAUGUCUUGGAGAUUCUGUCUUUGCAGUCUUAUAAUGAUGCCCUGAGAUCAUCAUUAAAGAAAGCCAGUCUGGCCUACUGAGGAUGAGAAGCUACAUAAAGGAGAAUGAAGAUUCCCCAGCCAACAGGCAAUAUCAAUAGUCAGAUAUGUGAAUAAAGCCAUGUUGAACCUCCCAGCUAGAUGACCCUCCAGCAUAUGAAACCAGCAGAUGAAUAUCCCAGCCUGCCUGAAGAACUGUACAGGAAAUAAGAAAUCAUUGUUUUUUAAGCCACUGGGUUGGUGGGUGGUUUGUUACACUGAAAUUGUUAACUAAAAGAGAAAUUGGUGCAUAGAGGUCAGGUGCUGUCAUAAUAAAAAUCUAAAACAUGUACUGUUGGCUUUGGUGAUGGGAGUGAUUGGUAGCUAAAGAGGCAGUGAAACAAUGAUUAGUAGAUACUGGGAAGUUAAUAAGGAAAUUUCUAUUGGAGGGUGGAGAAAGGGCCACCCUUGUUAUAUAGUGGCCAAAGAAUCAGCAAAAUGUUGCCUGCUGCAACCUGGAAAGUAGAAACUUUUUUUAAACUCACGGAUCUGGCUGGGAGAUUUCCAGGAUGCAUGCAACAAAUGUGAAUCAACUUUGUAUAGCUGUGUAUAAUAAAGUGUACUGUAUUUGUCCAUUCUGAUGCUGCUAAUAAAGACAUACCUGAGACUG
RNAcentral lists this long non-coding RNA (1920 nucleotides) under Pan troglodytes (chimpanzee). RNAcentral's name for it is "lincRNA". Lineage: Eukaryota; Metazoa; Chordata; Mammalia; Primates; Hominidae. The record is from RNAcentral.